UUUGCUCAUGGCUGUGAUAGCUUCUGUGCCUGCUUGUUCCCAGCUUUGCUCCUGCUUAGUUCCAGUCCUGCUCCUGCUUAGUUCCAGCCUUGCUGCACUCCAGGAGUGGAGCAUAACUACAAGUCUGACAGUCAGGACGGCCACCAGGGGAGAAGCACUGUGACCCUCACCUAGACACCGUUGAGGAGACAGAGGAGCACCCAGCAAUGAGUGAACUAUUUGACUAAGAACAUUGUGGGGUUAAGCCGUCUCCAUCCUUACAUCUGCUCCUGCCCAGACGGUCCUGAGACCGCAGAAGGAUGCCUCAAAAGUCCAAAAGGGGCUGCUACACCAGGAACUUCCCAAACUCCAGAUGUGAACACUUAGGGCCAAGUCAUACAAGCUGACUUCAGUAGGAAGAUAUAAAGUUUGCCUUUGCAUUCCCUCAGUCUUUGGAUGGCCAUAUGUUUGGACAAUCUCCUGGAGGCUGCUCUAAGUUACCCCGCCUGCCAAGAGCUGGAAGAGGACAAUAUGGCAGCAAGGGAUCAGUGGGCCAUAAGGGACCUCUGGCCUUGCAUGUUUUCUCCCAGCAAUGUCCUUUAUGCUGAUAACAGGCACAGGAUGUCAUGUAAGAGUCAGAAUGCCAGCACUACACCAAUGAAGACUCUCCUUUGCACUGUUGUGAUUCUCCCAGGGCUGCUUAAACCAUAUUUGUGGACAGAAUCAGCUGGUGACGCCUUGCUACAUAUCAUGAUAGGGACAUUAAAUUCUGGUACUGAAAUAUCCCAGAUUUCACUAUAUUGAUACUCUAUUUUGUUUAGUCUCAUCAGAGAGAGUGGCUCUUGAAGGUGGUGGUGGUGGGUGGAUGAACGAUGCAAGUCCAUGAUUGUUUGGGUUUUGAUUCGGUCAGUCUCAAAGAAUGCAGUACAGGAACUUGGUGGUGACAUGGUUUCAAUCUAAAAUGAGGCCAAGUUUGUACAUUUCAGAUGAGCUGCACUUUAUGUGGGAGUUUGUUUGGAGCCCCCAGUAAUUUCCACGAAAUAUGGAUCCAUAUAAAUUGAA
Molecule: long non-coding RNA, 1041 nt
Organism: Mauremys reevesii (Reeves's turtle)
Lineage: Eukaryota; Metazoa; Chordata; Testudines; Geoemydidae
Exons: 3
Source: RefSeq, a predicted model, not a curated record